RNAcentral lists this ribosomal RNA (249 nucleotides) under uncultured Oscillospiraceae bacterium. RNAcentral describes it as "partial 16S ribosomal RNA". It matches the Rfam family "Bacterial small subunit ribosomal RNA", at positions 796 to 1041 of the family's 1533-position model. Lineage: Bacteria; Bacillati; Bacillota; Clostridia; Eubacteriales; Oscillospiraceae. The record is from RNAcentral.
CACACUGUAAACGAUGAUUGCUAGGUGUGGGAGGUCUGACCCCUUCCGUGCCGCAGUUAACGCAAUAAGCAAUCCACCUGGGGAGUACGAUCGCAAGAUUAAAACUCAAAGGAAUUGACGGGGGCCCGCACAAGCAGUGGAUUAUGUGGUUUAAUUCGAAGCAACGCGAAGAACCUUACCAGGUCUUGACAUCCAACUAACGAGAUAGAGAUAUGUUAGGUGCCCUUCGGGGAAAGUUGAGACAGGUGG